This 30-nucleotide non-coding RNA is filed under the name Rattus norvegicus (Norway rat). Lineage: Eukaryota; Metazoa; Chordata; Mammalia; Rodentia; Muridae. The record is from RNAcentral.
UAGUUGAUGUCACAGGCCCAGGAGAGACCA